This 1440-nucleotide ribosomal RNA is filed under the name Lacticaseibacillus rhamnosus. RNAcentral describes it as "bacterial SSU rRNA". It matches the Rfam family "Bacterial small subunit ribosomal RNA". The record is from RNAcentral. Lineage: Bacteria; Bacillati; Bacillota; Bacilli; Lactobacillales; Lactobacillaceae.
GGCGGCGUGCCUAAUACAUGCAAGUCGAACGAGUUCUGAUUAUUGAAAGGUGCUUGCAUCUUGAUUUAAUUUUGAACGAGUGGCGGACGGGUGAGUAACACGUGGGUAACCUGCCCUUAAGUGGGGGAUAACAUUUGGAAACAGAUGCUAAUACCGCAUAAAUCCAAGAACCGCAUGGUUCUUGGCUGAAAGAUGGCGUAAGCUAUCGCUUUUGGAUGGACCCGCGGCGUAUUAGCUAGUUGGUGAGGUAACGGCUCACCAAGGCAAUGAUACGUAGCCGAACUGAGAGGUUGAUCGGCCACAUUGGGACUGAGACACGGCCCAAACUCCUACGGGAGGCAGCAGUAGGGAAUCUUCCACAAUGGACGCAAGUCUGAUGGAGCAACGCCGCGUGAGUGAAGAAGGCUUUCGGGUCGUAAAACUCUGUUGUUGGAGAAGAAUGGUCGGCAGAGUAACUGUUGUCGGCGUGACGGUAUCCAACCAGAAAGCCACGGCUAACUACGUGCCAGCAGCCGCGGUAAUACGUAGGUGGCAAGCGUUAUCCGGAUUUAUUGGGCGUAAAGCGAGCGCAGGCGGUUUUUUAAGUCUGAUGUGAAAGCCCUCGGCUUAACCGAGGAAGUGCAUCGGAAACUGGGAAACUUGAGUGCAGAAGAGGACAGUGGAACUCCAUGUGUAGCGGUGAAAUGCGUAGAUAUAUGGAAGAACACCAGUGGCGAAGGCGGCUGUCUGGUCUGUAACUGACGCUGAGGCUCGAAAGCAUGGGUAGCGAACAGGAUUAGAUACCCUGGUAGUCCAUGCCGUAAACGAUGAAUGCUAGGUGUUGGAGGGUUUCCGCCCUUCAGUGCCGCAGCUAACGCAUUAAGCAUUCCGCCUGGGGAGUACGACCGCAAGGUUGAAACUCAAAGGAAUUGACGGGGGCCCGCACAAGCGGUGGAGCAUGUGGUUUAAUUCGAAGCAACGCGAAGAACCUUACCAGGUCUUGACAUCUUUUGAUCACCUGAGAGAUCAGGUUUCCCCUUCGGGGGCAAAAUGACAGGUGGUGCAUGGUUGUCGUCAGCUCGUGUCGUGAGAUGUUGGGUUAAGUCCCGCAACGAGCGCAACCCUUAUGACUAGUUGCCAGCAUUUAGUUGGGCACUCUAGUAAGACUGCCGGUGACAAACCGGAGGAAGGUGGGGAUGACGUCAAAUCAUCAUGCCCCUUAUGACCUGGGCUACACACGUGCUACAAUGGAUGGUACAACGAGUUGCGAGACCGCGAGGUCAAGCUAAUCUCUUAAAGCCAUUCUCAGUUCGGACUGUAGGCUGCAACUCGCCUACACGAAGUCGGAAUCGCUAGUAAUCGCGGAUCAGCACGCCGCGGUGAAUACGUUCCCGGGCCUUGUACACACCGCCCGUCACACCAUGAGAGUUUGUAACACCCGAAGCCGGUGGCGUAACCCUU